Molecule: ribosomal RNA, 500 nt
Filed under: uncultured bacterium
Lineage: Bacteria
Description: partial 16S ribosomal RNA
Rfam family: Bacterial small subunit ribosomal RNA
Source: RNAcentral
GACGAACGCUGGCGGCGUGCUUAACACAUGCAAGUCGAACGGCAGCGCGGACUUCGGUCUGGCGGCGAGUGGCGAACGGGUGAGUAAUGUAUCGGAACGUGCCCUGUAGCGGGGGAUAACUACUCGAAAGAGUAGCUAAUACCGCAUACGCCCUACGGGGGAAAGGGGGGGAUCGCAAGACCUCUCACUAUUGGAGCGGCCGAUAUCGGAUUAGCUAGUUGGGAAGGUAAAGGCUCACCAAGGCGACGAUCCGUAGCUGGUUUGAGAGGACGGCUAGCCCCACUGGGACCGAGGCACGGGCCAGACGCCUACGGGAGGCAGCAAUGGGGAAUUUUGGACAAUGGGGGAAACCCUGAUCCAGCCAUUCCGCGUGUGCGAUGAAGGCCUUCGGGUUGUAAAGCACUUUUGGCAGGAAAGAAAUCGCAUCAAUUAAUACUUGGUGUGGAUGACGGUACCUGCAGAAUAAGCACCGGCUAACUACGUGCCAGCAGCCGCCGCCG